Eleginops maclovinus (Patagonian blennie) is the source of this 516-nucleotide long non-coding RNA. RefSeq lists it as uncharacterized. The transcript has 3 exons. The record is from RefSeq and is a predicted model, not a curated record. NCBI's taxonomy places the organism in Eukaryota, Metazoa, Chordata, Actinopteri, Perciformes, Eleginopidae.
CAGGUGGGUCUGAGCAUGCUGCUCCGCAGCUGGACCCUUCUCCACGCCGUCUUGACCUUUGGGUAUUCUAAAAUAUGAGCUGCAGCGGUGCCAUCCUGCAGGCAGCCUGAUCCUGCAGCCUGACUUGUCCUUGUAUGGGGCUGUGUCUCCAGCAUGGCACCGCUCCAGCUCUUCUGCAGGCACACGUCCAACAUAACACAUCCAAGGAUACACAAAUAACCGUACAGUAGGUCUGAGGACGAGGAUGUCUCUGGAGGAGCAGAGUUCUCAAGACAAAGGUCAGAGAGCAGCGGCUGAGGUGGGAUUUCUGAAAUUGACUGAAAGAGAAAAGAUCAAGCAACUCCAAAACUGAAACACCUAUAAUGGGAAGAUGGGCCUUUAUUCUAAAGAGUCGGGUGUAAAAACCUCAGAUCCAAAAGGAAAUUAUGGAGGACAGCGGACUUCAAACACAUGGUGAUGGAUGACAUUUUUAGCUUAAAAAACGAUUGCUUCCUGUUUCGAUUUCUGUGCAUUGGC